This 468-nucleotide ribosomal RNA is filed under the name uncultured bacterium. RNAcentral's name for it is "partial 16S ribosomal RNA". It matches the Rfam family "Bacterial small subunit ribosomal RNA", at positions 28 to 507 of the family's 1533-position model. The record is from RNAcentral.
GACGAACGCUGGCGGCGUGCUUAACACAUGCAAGUCGAACGGAAAGGUCCUGCUUUUGUGGGGUGCUCGAGUGGCGAACGGGUGAGUAACACGUGAGUAACCUGCCCUUGACUUUGGGAUAACUUCAGGAAACUGGGGCUCAUACCGGCUAGGAGUUCCUGCUGCAUGGUGGGGGUUGGAAAGUUUAGGUGGUUGGGGAUGGACUCGCGGCUUAUCAGCUCGUUGGUGGGGUAGUGGCUUACCAAGGCUUUGACGGGUAGCCGGCCUGAGAGGGUGACCGGCCACAUUGGGACUGGGAUACGGCCCAGACUCCUACGGGAGGCAGCAGUGGGGAAUAUUGCACAAUGGGCGGAAGCCUGAUGCAGCAACGCCGCGUGCGGGAUGACGGCCUUCGGGUUGUAAACCGAUUUCGCCUGUGACGAAGCGUGAGUGACGGUAAUGGGUAAAGAAGCACCGGCUAACUACGUG